UACGUAGGGUGCGAGCGUUAAUCGGAAUUACUGGGCGUAAAGCGUGCGCAGGCGGUUUUGUAAGCCAGGUGUGAAAUCCCCGGGCUCAACCUGGGAAUGGCAGUGGAUACUGGCAAGCUAGAGUGCGGUAGAGGGUAGUGGAAUUCCCGGUGUAGCAGUGAAAUGCGUAGAGAUCGGGAGGAACACCAGUGGCGAAGGCGGCUACCUGGACCAGCACUGACACUGAAGCACGAAAGCGUGGGGAGCAAACAGG
Molecule: ribosomal RNA, 253 nt
Filed under: uncultured bacterium
Lineage: Bacteria
Description: partial 16S ribosomal RNA
Rfam family: Bacterial small subunit ribosomal RNA
Source: RNAcentral